GAUGAACGCUGGCGGCGUGCUUAAUACAUGCAAGUCGAGCGAACGGACGAGAAGCUUGCUUCUCUGAUGUUAGCGGCGGACGGGUGAGUAACACGUGGAUAACCUACCUAUAAGACUGGGAUAACUUCGGGAAACCGGAGCUAAUACCGGAUAAUAUUUUGAACCGCAUGGUUCAAAAGUAAAAGACGGUCUUGCUGUCACUUAUAGAUGGAUCCGCGCUGCAUUAGCUAGUUGGUAAGGUAACGGCUUACCAAGGCAACGAUGCAUAGCCGACCUGAGAGGGUGAUCGGCCACACUGGAACUGAGACACGGUCCAGACUCCUACGGGAGGCAGCAGUAGGGAAUCUUCCGCAAUGGGCGAAAGCCUGACGGAGCAACGCCGCGUGAGUGAUGAAGGUCUUCGGAUCGUAAAACUCUGUUAUAGGGAAGAACAUAUGUGUAAGUAACUGUGCACAUCUUGACGGUACCUAAUCAGAAAGCCACGGCUAACUACGUG
This 496-nucleotide ribosomal RNA is filed under the name uncultured bacterium. RNAcentral's name for it is "partial 16S ribosomal RNA". It matches the Rfam family "Bacterial small subunit ribosomal RNA", at positions 28 to 507 of the family's 1533-position model. The record is from RNAcentral.